GGCUCACACAACGGAGCUCGACAUCCAUGUGAGCAUCUGACUUGCAGAGAGACUUGUUGGCUCCCUGUGGCCCUGACCUCUUGUGUAUCUCCACUUGAACCCAGGGCCUCUGUCCUCUGUCACCGGGAGCCCACAACCCCUGCUCCAAAGCUGCAGGCCUCUCUCUGAAUGGCAGCGAGAGUGAGCUUUGGGAACACCCCUCCUCUGUGCCAGUGAUACUCCGGUCUUCAACUGCUCCUGCUGUGCUUGCGGUAAAAUCCCACCACCUCACGCCAGCCCCUGCUUCUCCUAGAAUUCACCUCCCUCUGUCCAGGACGGGCCUCCUCAUUGCCUAGAGGGACUCAGUUCACUUCCCCCAGGAAGCCCUCUGGGACCACCGCCGCGCCUCUCUGCUCCCUUCCUGAAACUACUCGUGUGCAUGUUUAUGCUCCAAUGGGACCAGCUUCUUGAGGACAAGCUCUCCGACUUCACGUCAUACUUUUUAAUCCUCCGGCACCUAGAACAGUGCCUGGCCCACAGAUGGAACUCAAUCAACGUUUGCUGAUUGACUCCUGAAAAGAAAGAGCAAGCUUAUCCGUGAAGGAUGGAGUUUGUAAGGGCUGGGAAUCCUUCCUAGCUUAGUCAGAACCAGCUGUGGUCUCUUUAAAGCUAAAAAAAAGUUCUCGAAUGCAGCCCUCUCCAUCAAUCAACCUCCUGACAGUUGAUCCGACAGGUCAGAAAGCUGGUCCAUUUAAGCCCCUUCCCUCUGUGCCCGUAUUUCCCGUGAUGUCAGGGGGACAAGCUGGCAUCACAUCAGACCCAGCAGGAGUGGGAAGGGCUUACGUGUUAACUUAUCUCCCUGCAGGGGGACGUAACAUUUGCCCAUAAAUAAAACGUUUUAUUGUUUAGCUCGAACGUUACAUUUCAUGGGUCUGUAGCAUGUGUUUCAUUACAGCAGACACCACGGUGUACUUAGCAGUGAGGCUGUGGAGUGCUGCCCUGGCUUGCAGGACCCCAGCAGAGAGAUCCAGCACAGCCUCAGAGCGAUGCUCUGGGUCUCCCCUUGCAGCAUGGUGCUGGCAAUCACAUUUUCCCUUCACGUGGCCCUUGGUGCUGAUUAAACAAGUGGCAUCGGAUGCUCUAAUCUGCCUCCAGCUGCUUUCGUCUGCUGUGGCCGCCAAUUUACCGCAGGCUGGAAACAGUCCCACAGCCAAGCUGUUAGAAUGGCGUCCAAAGGAAACCAGCAGAGCCGCGCUGAUGAAUUACGGGAGGGGAGCCGCCUCGGAUGGCUCUGAGGCAGAGGGAGAUCGGCUUUCCCCCGUGACACUAGAAGGAAUUCCUUCCUUCCCCAUCUCCCUGCUGGCUUCUCCGUGCUUGGGAUUCUCCCAGAGUAACCUUUCCACUCCCUUUAAUAAGAGCUGCUAAUCAACAUUAAUGUUGAUACAUGCCCGGCUCUGGGCCCAGUACCGUGGAGGCACUUUCUCCUUUGAUUCUUUCAACAAUCCCACUAGGUAGGUGCCAUAGUUCACAUUUCUGCUAAUAUUU
This 1524-nucleotide long non-coding RNA is filed under the name Vulpes vulpes (red fox). Its description in RNAcentral is "lncRNA (ENSVVUG00000001109.1)". The record is from RNAcentral. Lineage: Eukaryota; Metazoa; Chordata; Mammalia; Carnivora; Canidae.